This 145-nucleotide small RNA is filed under the name Photobacterium swingsii. Its description in RNAcentral is "RtT RNA". Lineage: Bacteria; Pseudomonadati; Pseudomonadota; Gammaproteobacteria; Vibrionales; Vibrionaceae. The record is from RNAcentral.
AUUUUGUGAUUAAAGAUAGGGUGCCGAACCCUAGAACAGGGUUCACCUGAGCGAAGCGAAAGCACAUUGCCCGUGCCGAAGGCGCGAAAAGGCAAUAGCCCGAAGGGCGCGAGCUUGCGAGCAGUAAAUCCCUAUCUCUCCGCCA